CCUACGGGAGGCAGCAGUAGGGAAUCUUCCACAAUGGGCGAAAGCCUGAUGGAGCAACGCCGCGUGGGUGAAGAAGGUCUUCGGAUCGUAAAACCCUGUUGUUAGAGAAGAAAGUGCGUGAGAGUAACUGUUCACGUUUCGACGGUAUCUAAACAGAAAGCCAAGGCUAAAUACGUCCCAGCAGCCGCGGUAAUACGUAGGUGGCAAGCGUUAUCCGGAUUUAUUGGGCGUAAAGGGAACGGAGGCGGUCUUUUAAGUCUGAUGUGAAAGCCUUCGGCUUAACCGGAGUAGUGCAUUGGAUACUGGGAGACUUGAGUACAGAAGAGGAGAGUGGAAUUCCAGGUGUAGCGGUGAAAUGCGUAGAUA
This 366-nucleotide ribosomal RNA is filed under the name uncultured bacterium. RNAcentral describes it as "partial 16S ribosomal RNA". It matches the Rfam family "Bacterial small subunit ribosomal RNA", at positions 338 to 696 of the family's 1533-position model. The record is from RNAcentral.